GGACGGGUGAGUAAUGUCUGGGAAACUGCCUGAUGGAGGGGGAGUAACUACUGGAAACGGUAGCUAAUACCGCAUAACGUCGCAAGACCAAAGAGGGGGACCUUCGGGCCUCUUGCCAUCAGAUGUGCCCAGAUGGGAUUAGCUAGUAGGUGGGGUAACGGCUCACCUAGGCGACAUCCCUAGCUGGUCUGAGAGGAUGACCAGCCACACUGGAACUGAGACACGGUCCAGACUCCUACGGGAGGCAGCAUG
RNAcentral lists this ribosomal RNA (252 nucleotides) under uncultured bacterium. Its description in RNAcentral is "partial 16S ribosomal RNA". It matches the Rfam family "Bacterial small subunit ribosomal RNA", at positions 100 to 353 of the family's 1533-position model. The record is from RNAcentral.